RNAcentral lists this ribosomal RNA (710 nucleotides) under Creaserinus limulus. Its description in RNAcentral is "partial 28S large subunit ribosomal RNA". The stretch from base 279 to 710 matches the Rfam family "Eukaryotic large subunit ribosomal RNA", at positions 665 to 882 of the family's 3401-position model. Lineage: Eukaryota; Metazoa; Arthropoda; Malacostraca; Decapoda; Cambaridae. The record is from RNAcentral.
GCUUGGGCGUGCCUCCACCCACGCCGGCGUCGGCGGGCGUAUUUCGCCUCACAGUAGGUCGCCGCGACCCGUUGCUUUUGGGGACGUCGAAGGCCCGGACGGAUUGGUACCCUACCGGCUGGGGAUGCGGCUUCGGCUUCUCCUCUUGUCCGGUGGGCGAAACCGCCGGUGUCCUGGCUGCCCUGCGACGGUCGUAGAGACGAGCCCUCCCCUUCGGGGGGGCGGCUCUCGCGGCGUGCAAAAGGUCGGUGAUCCACCCGACCCGUCUUGAAACACGGACCAAGGAGUCUAACAUGUGUGCGAGUCAGUGGGCGCACUAAACCCAGAGGCGUAAUGAAAGUGACACGGGUUCGGCUGUCGCCUCGUGUGGCAGCCGGACUCAGGGCCGAUCCCUCACCGGUUGCCCUCGCCUCUCUCCCGCGUCUCGGUAAGCCGGGUGAGCUAUUUUCCCCGGCCGCUGCUGCGGGGCGCGGGGGGAGGCGGGGUGCGACGGUGUCCGUAAAAAAGAGCCUGCUGUUGCAGGGGGGCGCAGGCCCGGGACUUGCCAGGACGCCGCGAGACUGUCACUUUGCUGUGAGGCUCUCGGGCCGAUCAGCGGGUCAUGCGUGCAGUCGGCAAGUACCAUGAGCAGACAUGUUGGGACCCGAAAGAUGGUGAACUAUGCCUGGCCAGGAUGAAGCCAGAGGAAACUCUGGUGGAGGUCCGUAGCG